Molecule: long non-coding RNA, 135 nt
Organism: Nothoprocta perdicaria
Lineage: Eukaryota; Metazoa; Chordata; Aves; Tinamiformes; Tinamidae
Exons: 2
Source: RefSeq, a predicted model, not a curated record
ACAGUGGCUCUCUUCAGUUCUCUCCCCAGCUGGACAAGUGUAUGAAGGGCCCUAGCACCGUGGUAGAUCCCCUCUUCAGAAGGGGGUUAGAACAAAAUGAUGCCCUCUUGCUCUCCAGACUGUUGGAGUGAUGUG